GACGAACCGUGCGAACGUUAUUCGGAAUCACUGGGCUUAAAGCGCGUGUAGGCGGGAGGGCACGUCCGUUGCUGAAAUCCCCCGGCUCAACCGGGGAACGGGCGCGGAUACGACCUUCCUGGAGGGGCGUAGGGGGACCUGGAACUUCCGGUGGAGCGGUGAAAUGCGUUGAGAUCGGAAGGAACGCCCGUGGCGAAAGCGAGGUCCUGGACGCCUACUGACGCUGAGACGCGAAAGCCAGGGGAGCAAACAGG
This 254-nucleotide ribosomal RNA is filed under the name uncultured bacterium. RNAcentral's name for it is "partial 16S ribosomal RNA". It matches the Rfam family "Bacterial small subunit ribosomal RNA", at positions 524 to 776 of the family's 1533-position model. The record is from RNAcentral.